UUCUUCGAAGAAGUGCGACGUACUUGCAUGAUUUAAUCUACACAAAUUCUACGAAUCAACAAAUCAAUAGAAUCGUUUUAUGAUAAAUAUCGUUGCAGGAUGUGUGCAAUAUAUAUUAGAUAGGAAAACAGAAAUAAAAUUGCAGUAAAAUGGCGGCUUUCAAUGUAUACGAACUCUAUUAAACUAUUUCAUUUUUCGUUGCCACAAGUAAAGAAAUAAAGCAUUUUACUUAUUUUUAAAUGGUCCAAAGUUCUGGUUGAUGACGUAUCUUAUGCAGCGGAUGAGACUACCAGCAAUGCUGACUAAUUUUUAAACAGUAGGUCUUACCUUAACCAUAGAGAGCGCUAUCAGCGCCAAAUAACUACCGCUCUAGUAGAAAAUGAGGAUGAAUUGGAACGUUAUAUGCAUACGACCGAAAAGUAUAGCAUACAUCAAAUUCCAGAAUACUCUGUUCUAACGUAAUAUCUAUACUAGCAGAUGAGUUUUCAGACUGAUGUAUAUGAUAAAUUCAACUGAAAUAAAAAAUGAAAAAUGCAGCAAUAUGAUCAGACAGUACGCAAAGUAUUCGAAUUGUAUCUAGAUUACAAAGAUCAACUAGCGCUAGUAUCAGAGCAUUAUCCCAAAUGUGCACUGGAAAGGGAAUGGAUGCUUACCAAGUUAGUCCAAUGGUCGCAGGAAUGCAUCUGUUGGCUGCCAAAAUAUUUUGAAUGAUAGUAAGUAAUCUUCCUAAAGGGAUUUCGGAACGUUCGGUUAAUCGGCCUAAAGAGUUGAACAUGCAAAUUGACGACACGGCACAGGUUCUGGAGACAGACUUGAUAUGGUAACCUUUACCUUUGUUUUUUGCUAAAACAUUCCCGAAGAGACGUCGAAUCUAUCGAUUUUCAUCGUGAACACUAAGAACUUGACUGCGGUGACUGUGCAGAGCGAGAACAUGACGUGGUAUGUAACGAACUCGAAGAAUCUUUUUAAAUUACUGAAACGUGAUAUUUUGGAUGUACAAAAUAAAUUAGUAAAAAUUAUUGAAAGGUCCAAGAACGUUGUUCACCGCUCUCCAGUUGUAC
Molecule: long non-coding RNA, 1061 nt
Organism: Glossina fuscipes
Lineage: Eukaryota; Metazoa; Arthropoda; Insecta; Diptera; Glossinidae
Exons: 3
Source: RefSeq, a predicted model, not a curated record